UAGGGAAUCUUCCGCAAUGGACGAAAGUCUGACGGAGCAACGCCGCGUGAGUGAUGAAGGUUUUCGGAUCGUAAAACUCUGUUGUUAGGGAAGAACAAGUAUCGUUCGAAUAGGGCGGUACCUUGACGGUACCUAACCAGAAAGCCACGGCUAACUACGUG
RNAcentral lists this ribosomal RNA (161 nucleotides) under uncultured Bacillus sp. Its description in RNAcentral is "partial 16S ribosomal RNA". It matches the Rfam family "Bacterial small subunit ribosomal RNA", at positions 355 to 507 of the family's 1533-position model. The record is from RNAcentral. Lineage: Bacteria; Bacillati; Bacillota; Bacilli; Caryophanales; Bacillaceae.